Mustela lutreola (European mink) is the source of this 687-nucleotide long non-coding RNA. RefSeq lists it as uncharacterized. The record is from RefSeq and is a predicted model, not a curated record. The transcript has 2 exons. NCBI's taxonomy places the organism in Eukaryota, Metazoa, Chordata, Mammalia, Carnivora, Mustelidae.
GCUGUUGACGAAGAGAUGGAGGGAAUAAAAGAAACAGGCCAAAAGUCCACCCCCUCCCCCAGCCUCCGGGCUCCCCGCCCCAGGAGGGGGGCGGAGAGGACUUAUGGGAGUGACUGAACAAACGGAUACGGUCAAGGAGCCCCCCCCCCCCCCCCGGAGGCGGUGGGAGCCAAGGGGAAGUGUCUCUGACUCAGCCUUCAUCGGGGGGCCAGAGAAUGGGCAGAGAGGGACGUGACAGAGGUGACCGAGAGACCGUGCGUGCUCCCAGACGUACCUUCGGUGUGGCAGAAUCCGCGGCACAGAACCACUCUCCUGGAUGUUGCGCUGGUGUCCCAGACACCCCUUCCACUCUCCGAAUCCCUGUCUGGUCCUGGCUGGAAGGCACCGUCCUGCGCUUCUGUUUCAGCUCCGGUCCCUCCCGGCGUCCCAGUCAGACCUCGGGGGCGGUACGGGCGCAGGCUGCCAGACACCCGGCCGCUGCUGUGCACCCUGGUCUCAAUGCUGCCGUCUGCUCGGGCUCAUCCAAGGGAACCGAGGGGAAACCGAGGCGCCGGAGAAGCCAAAGACCGCUCUCCUCACCGCUGGUCCCUGCUGUGCGUUCUCACUGCAGCCGUCCGCGGCCCAGACUAGUGUUCGAGGAAGUCUGCCCACCCUCCCCCUUUAAAUAAAAGAUCAGCUCGAAACCCA